GAUGAAGAACGCAGCAAAAUGCGAUAAGUAAUGUGAAUUGCAGAAUUCAGUGAAUCAUCGAAUCUUUGAACGCACAUUGCGCCCGCUGGUAUUCCGGCGGGCAUGCCUGUUCGAGCGUCAUUUCAGCCCUCAAGCCCCCGGGUUUGGUGUUGGGGAUCGGCUCUGCCCUUCUGGGCGGUGCCGCCCCCGAAAUACAUUGGCGGUCUCGCUGCAGCCUCCAUUGCGUAGUAGCUAACACCUCGCAACUGGAACGCGGCGCGGCCAUGCCGUAAAACCCCAACUUCUGAAUGUUGACCUCGGAUCAGGUAGGAAUACCCGCUGAACUUAAGCAUAUCAAUAAGCGGAGGA
This 348-nucleotide unclassified non-coding RNA is filed under the name soil metagenome. RNAcentral describes it as "partial contains 5.8S ribosomal RNA, internal transcribed spacer 2, and large subunit ribosomal RNA". The stretch from base 1 to 120 matches the Rfam family "5.8S ribosomal RNA", at positions 35 to 154 of the family's 154-position model. The record is from RNAcentral.